UUUCCUCUCUCAUUCUAUUUCAUAGUUAUAUAAUCAUAUGGGUUCCAUUUCUGGAGUACAUUUUUGGACAAAUUUUUUCAACCAUACUGUAUUUUCAUACAGUGCUCUAACUGUAUAACUCUAUGGUGAGUAUUUUCAUACAGUACUAUAACUGCUACAUCUUGAAUCUCAUAAUGAGAGAUAUCUAAGUACAACACCAUGGACAUUUUAAAAUGUCCUAGCCUCAUAAACUGUUUCCUUAAAAACAACAACAAAAAAAAACUUUUCAGUAUUUUCAACUAAUAAGUAGAUGGUAACAUUUCAAUCAAAACUACAUCAUUUCUGACAAUAUUACCUAUGACAACUGCAGAAGUGUACUUCCAGAUUCUUGGAAAAGAACCCCUGAAUGGAGAGCUUCUCGGUCCUGUCGCCGCUGCCGUCAUGCCCGGGGUACUGCUUCUCGGGGACACGGCUCCCAACUUCAAAGCCGAUACCACCGUCGGCCACAUCCGCUUCCACGACUUUCUGGGAGACUAAUGGGGCAUCCUCUUCUCCCAUCCUCGGGACUUUACCCCAGUGUGCAUCACAGAACUUGGCAGAGCUGCAAAGCUGGUGCCAGAAUUUGCCAAGAGGAAUGUUAAAUUGAUUGCCCUUUCAAUAGACAGUGUUGAGGAUCAUCUUGCCUGGAAUAAGGAUAUCAAUGCUUACAAUGGUAAUGAGUCCACAGAAAAAUUACCUUUUCCCAUCAUCGAUGAUAAGGAUCGGGACCUUGCCAUCCUGCUUGGCAUGCUGGACCUAGCAAAGAAGGAUGAAAAGGGCAUGCCUGUGACAGCUCGGGUGCUGUUUAUUUUUGGUCCUGAUAAGAAACUGAAGCUGUCCAUCCUCUACCGGGUUACCACUGGCAGGAACUUUGAUGAGAUUCUCAGGGUAGUCAUUUCUCUCCAGCUGACAGCGGAAAAGAGAGUUGCCACCCCAGUUGAUUGGAAGGACAGAGAUAGUGUGAUGGUUCUUCCAACCAUCCCUGAAGAGGAAGCCAAAAAACUUUUCCCUAAAGGAGUCUUCACCAAAGAGCUCCCAUCUGGCAAGAAAUACCUCUGCUACACUCCCUAACCUUGGGUCUCUGAGAAGUGGGUUCUGUGAGCCAGAGGAUAUCCUAAUGCCAAUGUUUUCCUACAGCAAUACCAUAAAAAUAUACUGGUGUCAUCAUAGCCAAGGUCUCUAAAUUGCUCUACUAUUGGCUUAUUAAAUGAAAAUGGCACUAAAAAAAAAAAA
This is an RNA transcript of Carlito syrichta (Philippine tarsier), 1251 nucleotides long. It is a transcript of the gene named peroxiredoxin-6 pseudogene, with no coding region annotated. The record is from RefSeq and is a predicted model, not a curated record. The transcript has a single exon. NCBI's taxonomy places the organism in Eukaryota, Metazoa, Chordata, Mammalia, Primates, Tarsiidae.